Molecule: ribosomal RNA, 468 nt
Filed under: uncultured bacterium
Lineage: Bacteria
Description: partial 16S ribosomal RNA
Rfam family: Bacterial small subunit ribosomal RNA
Source: RNAcentral
GACGAACGCUGGCGGCGUGCUUAACACAUGCAAGUCGAACGGAAAGGCCCUGCUUUUGUGGGGUGCUCGAGUGGCGAACGGGUGAGUAACACGUGAGUAACCUGCCCUUGACUUUGGGAUAACUUCAGGAAACUGGGGCUAAUACCGGAUAGGAGCUCCUGCUGCAUGGUGGGGGGUGGAAAGUUUCGGCGGUUGGGGAUGGACUCGCGGCUUAUCAGCUUGUUGGUGGGGUAGUGGCUUACCAAGGCUGUGACGGGUAGCCGGCCUGAGAGGGUGACCGGCCACAUUGGGACUGAGAUACGGCCCAGACUCCUACGGGAGGCAGCAGUGGGGAAUAUUGCACAAUGGGCGGAAGCCUGAUGCAGCAACGCCGCGUGCGGGAUGACGGCCUUCGGGUUGUAAACCGCUUUCGCCUGCGACGAAGCGUGAGUGACGGUAAUGGGUAAAGAAGCACCGGCUAACUACGUG